This 704-nucleotide long non-coding RNA is filed under the name Canis lupus dingo (dingo). RNAcentral describes it as "lncRNA (ENSCAFG00020010452.1)". Lineage: Eukaryota; Metazoa; Chordata; Mammalia; Carnivora; Canidae. The record is from RNAcentral.
GUUUUAAUUCCAAAUGCAUCCUUUUGCCCCCCCCCCCACCACUAUUUACAAUGGCUUUAAAAAAAAAACUCAUAAACCCUUUUUCUUUCUCUCUCCCUCUCUCUCUCUCUUUUUUUUUUUUUUUUUAAAUAACGAGUUUACAUAUUCCCUGGAGGCUGCUGACUGAGAAAGGAACACGUCUCUCCCGAGCCUCGUUGCCUCCACAUACCGGAUGCGUCGACCUGGCCCCGCGAAGCUCCAGCCCUACUUCCUCAAUCUAUUAGAGACGGAGAAAGUUACUGAAACUGCAUGGGAUCCUGUAUACAGGUGAACAGUAAUCUACCCUCUUGAGAUGGAUGAAGAGAGUGAGAGCCUCUUAGAUCAAGAGACUGAUGGUGGGAUCCCAGAGACCCCAGGAGCUUCCAAUUAGCCAUGCAGCCAUCCUGUGUACAAAUACAUUCUCAUCCUUCCCUAAAAAGGCAGAGACACAGUACCCCAACAGUCAUGGUGCCAUUAUCUGGGAGUCAAUGACAUCAUCUAUCUCCAUGCCUUUUUAGUUACUCCUUAAAUUCAGUCACAGUCUUAUCUGAUUUUCUGUUAUUAAAGACUAAAUUUUAAAGUUAGCCUCCAACAAAACUUGUAACCAAAUAAUAUAAGGAGAAAGAGAAAGAAGAAAAUAGUUCAUAUUGACAAAUAUACAUACUACAAGCUCACAUGAAACAAGC